RNAcentral lists this unclassified non-coding RNA (310 nucleotides) under Xylodon sp. RNAcentral's name for it is "partial contains 5.8S ribosomal RNA, internal transcribed spacer 2, and large subunit ribosomal RNA". The stretch from base 1 to 52 matches the Rfam family "5.8S ribosomal RNA", at positions 103 to 154 of the family's 154-position model. Lineage: Eukaryota; Fungi; Basidiomycota; Agaricomycetes; Hymenochaetales; Schizoporaceae. RNAcentral also lists the same sequence under 1 other name. The record is from RNAcentral.
AACGCACCUUGCGCUCUCUGGUAUUCCGGAGAGCAUGUCUGUUUGAGUGUCAUGAACUCUUCAACCUACCGAUUUCUAGUAAAUCGGAUUAGUGUUUGGAUUUUGAACGCUUGCUGGCCUUUAUUGGCGAAGCUCGUUCGUAAAUGAUUAGCAUCUCAUAUUCGAAAAAUCGGAUUGACUCAGUGUAAUAGACUAUUCGCUGAGGACGCUCUUUCGGGAGUGGCCGAGUUUUGUAAAGUAGAAGCUUCUAAUUCUAUUAGUCAACUUUAGAUUAGACCUCAGAUCAGGCAGGAUUACCCGCUGAACUUAA